RNAcentral lists this non-coding RNA (93 nucleotides) under [Eubacterium] saphenum. RNAcentral describes it as "THF riboswitch". It matches the Rfam family "THF (Tetrahydrofolate) riboswitch aptamer". Rfam says of the family: THF riboswitch presents a pseudoknot that joins P1-P2 and the loop of P3 and two THF binding. The record is from RNAcentral. Lineage: Bacteria; Bacillati; Bacillota; Clostridia; Peptostreptococcales; Anaerovoracaceae.
GAGUAGGCGCACAUGCGUUAAGUAUCGGAUGGACGGGGAGUUGUCAUCCGGGCGAAAAGCUUGUCUUGCGAUGUGUGUGCCGCAUCCCGCUGC